GACGAACGCUGGCGGCGUGCCUAAUACAUGCAAGUAGAACGCUGAAGGAGGAGCUUGCUUCUCUGGAUGAGUUGCGAACGGGUGAGUAACGCGUAGGUAACCUGCCUGGUAGCGGGGGAUAACUAUUGGAAACGAUAGCUAAUACCGCAUAACAGUAGAUAUCGCAUGAUAUCUACUUGAAAGGUGCAAUUGCAUCACUACCAGAUGGACCUGCGUUGUAUUAGCUAGUUGGUGAGGUAACGGCUCACCAAGGCGACGAUACAUAGCCGACCUGAGAGGGUGAUCGGCCACACUGGGACUGAGACACGGCCCAGACUCCUACGGGAGGCAGCAGUAGGGAAUCGUCGGCAAUGGACGGAAGUCUGACCGAGCAACGCCGCGUGAGUGAAGAAGGUUGUCGGAUCGUAAAGCUCUGUUGUAAGAGAAGAACGAGUGUGAGAGUGGAAAGUUCACACUGUGACGGUAUCUUACCAGAAAGGGACGGCUAACUACGUG
RNAcentral lists this ribosomal RNA (495 nucleotides) under uncultured bacterium. Its description in RNAcentral is "partial 16S ribosomal RNA". It matches the Rfam family "Bacterial small subunit ribosomal RNA", at positions 28 to 507 of the family's 1533-position model. The record is from RNAcentral.